This is a long non-coding RNA of Poecile atricapillus (Black-capped chickadee), 506 nucleotides long. RefSeq lists it as uncharacterized. NCBI's taxonomy places the organism in Eukaryota, Metazoa, Chordata, Aves, Passeriformes, Paridae. The transcript has 4 exons. The record is from RefSeq and is a predicted model, not a curated record.
CACUGACGUCUGUGCUGCUGUUCAGGAUGGCAUGACUUGCAUCUCUCAUGUUAAAUACUUGAGAAUCACAGUCUGGGACUCGUGGAACCUCUCUGCCUGCCCUGAUCUUAAAGGAAGGCAGAAGCUGGAAGGAACCUCUGGCAGUCAUCUGGUCCCACCCACCCCUCCUCAAGCUGGACCACCAUGAGCUACCCAGGACCAUCUUCAGAGGAGGGAUGAGGAGGACCAGAAUUUCAUCACCAUCUUCUCAUGUUGCAUCACACUUCAGUAUCUUUGCCCAUCAAACUGCUUUUCAUCCUACAAAAAGCAUGCUUAUUUAUCAAAGUCUUCAGUAUGGAUUCUGAACAUAUUUAAUGAAUGUGCUACGUAAAGUUCAGCUUUGUCCCACAGAGACACUGCUAUGCUCCAGAGACUCAAGGACAGUACAAAAACAGUGGACUUUUUCUCCUUUUUGGACUGAUCAUUUUGGAACUGUUACCACUGGAAGCUUUCAAUUUAAAUCUUUA